UACGAAGGGGGCUAGCGUUGCUCGGAAUCACUGGGCGUAAAGGGUGCGUAGGCGGGUCUUUAAGUCAGGGGUGAAAUCCUGGAGCUCAACUCCAGAACUGCCCUUGAUACUGGCGGUCUCGAGUCCGGGAGAGGUGAGUGGAACUGCGAGUGUAGAGGUGAAAUUCGUAGAUAUUCGCAAGAACACCAGUGGCGAAGGCGGCUCACUGGCCCGAUACUGACGCUGAGGCACGAAAGCGUGGGGAGCAAACAGG
This 253-nucleotide ribosomal RNA is filed under the name uncultured bacterium. Its description in RNAcentral is "partial 16S ribosomal RNA". It matches the Rfam family "Bacterial small subunit ribosomal RNA", at positions 524 to 776 of the family's 1533-position model. The record is from RNAcentral.